Molecule: ribosomal RNA, 498 nt
Filed under: uncultured bacterium
Lineage: Bacteria
Description: partial 16S ribosomal RNA
Rfam family: Bacterial small subunit ribosomal RNA
Source: RNAcentral
ACUCAAAUGAAUUGACGGGGGCCCGCACAAGCAGUGGAGCAUGUGGUUUAAUUCGAUGCAACGCGAAGAACCUUACCCAGAUUUGAAAUACAGAGGACAGUCACAGAAAUGUGAUCUCCCGCAAGGGUCUUUGAACAGGUGCUGCAUGGCUGUCGUCAGCUCGUGCCGUGAGGUGUUGGGUUAAGUCCCGCAACGAGCGCAACCCUUAUCAUUAGUUGCCAACACGUAAAGGUGGGAACUCUAGUGAGACUGCCUGGGUUAACCAGGAGGAAGGUGAGGAUGACGUCAAGUCCGCAUGGCCUUUAUAUCUGGGGCUACACACGUGCUACAAUGGUCGGUACAGAAGGCAGCAAGACCGCAAGGUGGAGCAAAUCCGUAAAGCCGAUCCCAGUUCGGAUUGUAGUCUGCAACUCGACUACAUGAAGUUGGAAUUGCUAGUAAUGACGUGUCAGCAACAACGUCGUGAAUACGUUCCCGGGCCUUGUACACACCGCCCGU